Molecule: long non-coding RNA, 1990 nt
Organism: Eriocheir sinensis (Chinese mitten crab)
Lineage: Eukaryota; Metazoa; Arthropoda; Malacostraca; Decapoda; Varunidae
Exons: 6
Source: RefSeq, a predicted model, not a curated record
GGGAAUCAGAGACCUUUAUCAUCGGUUGGGAAUGGGAAGUCAGUUUCUUGCACAUUUUUGGCUCCCAAUGUCUUCCAUUGCUUGUUAACACCAACCACGCCACUUUGUUGUCGUCGGCGAGCGUGCACGCUGCAGAAGGAAUACGGGACAGCUGCCAUUCCUGGAGGCUGGAGGGUUCAUUGGACAGGACACCUGCACAGCCGUAUUGCUGGCGGCUACGGUAAAGGUGUCCACCCUACUUUGUGGUCCAAGAAAUAUAGACUUCAACAGUGUCAAGAUACUGAACACCACUCCAAGUACAAGCAGGACUUCAGCCUCUCAGGCUUUGACAAGCUCCAGCUCAACUGGGGAUGCUACACUGAGCCUUAUUGCUGAAAGUCUUCCGAGUAGUUUUGAAACACAACACAAGAUGGAGGAGGAUGUGAGUGUGAUCGAUCUUCUCAGGGUCUUGCUGCAGGAGGUGCGAGAUGUGAAGCAGGAGGUGAGAGAGUUGAAGAGCAAGCUCGAGAACUCAUCUGAAUGUACAGAGUCGAUUAUUGAAAACCCUUUUGAUGAACUGAAGUCUUUUGGCUUUAAAGCUACAUCACUGGAAGAAAGAACGAGAACAUGAUUUGCUUUUUCAUGUCCCGUGCCACUUGACUGAACAUCUGAUGUUGAUAACAGCAGAUUAUUGGCUACUCGAACGGGAGAAGCAGUUCUCGGAAGGAUGUGAAAAUUCUAAGAAGAACAGGAACGACCUCCUUAAGAUCCUCAUUGAGUUAGCUCCCAAGCCUAAGAAGAAUGCUAAAGUAGCUACUCUGGAUAUAGUUAGGUCGAUAAUGCAAAGAUUAGCUGAUGAUUCAGUAUGGCAAUAUGUUAGCGCUUUUGGGAAGUCAGGCACAAAAAAGCUGUCAAUGUGCAAAAUGAUGCCUUCAAUUAUGGAUACAGUACUCUUAACAACAAUAAAAACCCUUUCAGUUGAUACUAAAGAGGCAUCAACUGCUCUUUCAACAUAUUUAAAAAAUACUGCUACAAGGGCAGCAGCAAAGAAGCACAAAUUUGAACAUGGAAGAGCCAUACUUCAGAUUGGCAACAGUGUACAUGAGGAAACAUUCCAGUCUGCAAACUCUGUCCAAAGUUCAUCACAACAUGCAGCUGAUGAGGUUAGAGUCUGAUGCAGCACAUGAUUCAGAUUUGGCCUGAAACCAAAUUUGUGGCUAAAAUAAUUUUAUGCAUGUGUUCUUUAUUGAGUGUUAUAUAAGCACUGGUCUCCACUGUCAGUGUCAACUAAGUACAACACAUGCAAAAUAACACAAAACUUUCUUUUUGCUAGCAUCAUAAAUAAUUACAAAUGCCUGAUUCAUAUAAGGUAUAUAGAUAAAAGAGGUACCUUUGCAUAAUGGAUUUCCUUAUGGUAGAAUGUGAUGUAUAUGUGGAGAUAAUAAAACAAGAAGGAAACCAUGUUGUUUUCUUCAAAUGGCAGUAAUUCCUAUGAAGGCAUUUUUUAGAACUCGUGAUUCAUAUUAUUUGAGGUCCAUCCAAUGUUCAUUUAAGGUUCAUUAAAAGGCUUUUUAUGGUUCAUUUUUAGGUGUUUUUAAAGUUCAUAUAAAGAUUUUUGAGGUCCAUUCAAAGUUCAUUUAAGGUUCAUUAAAAGGCUUUUUAUGGUUCAUUUAUAGGCGUUUUAAAGUUCAUUUAAAGUUUUUUUGAGGUUUGUUAAAGGUUCAUUUAAGGUUCAUUCAAAGGCUUUUUAUGGUUCAUUUAUAGGUGUUUUAAAGUUCAUAUAAAGUUUUUUUGAGGUCUGUUAAAAGUUCAUUUAAGGUUCAUGAAAAGUCUUUUUACAGCUCAUUUUUAGGUGCUUUUAAAGUUCACAUGAGGUUUGCGCAAACCGAAAAGUGUACACCAAAACGGGUACUUUUCAGGCUUGUUUGAGGUUCAUCUGAAGCUCAUGUUGUGAAGUUUGCGCACCUUUUACAAACGUUUGCCAAACAUCCUAUGAACUUUAAAUUUCCGG